AGGCGAACCGGGGGAACUGAAACAUCUAAGUACCCCGAGGAAAAGAAAUCAACCGAGAUUCCGAAAGUAGCGGCGAGCGAAAUUGGACUAGCCCUUAAGCUUUACACGCGUUAGACGAACGGUCUGGAAAGUCCGACGAUACAGGGUGAUAGUCCCGUAGUUGACGACGUGUGUUCAGUGAAAUCGAGUAGGGCGGGACACGUGAUAUCCUGUCUGAAUAUGGGGGGACCAUCCUCCAAGGCUAAAUACUACUGACUGACCGAUAGUGAACCAGUACCGUGAGGGAAAGGCGAAAAGAACCCCUGUGAGGGGAGUGAAAUAGAACCUGAAACCGUGUACGUACAAGCAGUAGGAGCAGGCUUUGUCCUGUGACUGCGUACCUUUUGUAUAAUGGGUCAGCGACUUAUAUUCAGUGGCAAGGUUAACCAUCUAGGGGAGCCGUAGGGAAACCGAGUCUUAACUGGGCGUUCAGUCUCUGGAUAUAGACCCGAAACCAGGUGAUCUAGCCAUGGGCAGGUUGAAGGUUGAGUAACAUCAACUGGAGGACCGAACCGACUAAUGUUGAAAAAUUAGCGGAUGACUUGUGGCUAGGGGUGAAAGGCCAAUCAAACCUGGAGAUAGCUGGUUCUCCCCGAAAGCUAUUUAGGUAGCGCCUCGGACGAAUACUACUGGGGGUAGAGCACUGUUAAGGCUAGGGGGUCAUCCCGACUUACCAACCCUUUGCAAACUCCGAAUACCAGUAAGUACUAUCCGGGAGACACACGGCGGGUGCUAACGUCCGUCGUGGAGAGGGAAACAACCCAGACCGCCAGCUAAGGUCCCAAAUUACUACUAAGUGGGAAACGAUGUGGGAAGGCUCAGACAGCCAGGAUGUUGGCUUAGAAGCAGCCAUCAUUUAAAGAAAGCGUAAUAGCUCACUGGUCGAGUCGGCCUGCGCGGAAGAUGUAACGGGGCUAAGUAGUAAACCGAAGCUGCGGCAAUGUGCUUUUGCACAUUGGGUAGGGGAGCGUUCUGUAAGCGGUUGAAGGUGUGUGGUAACGCAUGCUGGACGUAUCAGAAGUGCGAAUGCUGACAUGAGUAACGAUAAAGGGGGUGAAAAACCUCCUCGCCGGAAGACCAAGGGUUCCUGUCCAACGUUAAUCGGGGCAGGGUAAGUCGACCCCUAAGGCGAGGCCGAAAGGCGUAGUCGAUGGGAAACGGGUUAAUAUUCCCGUACUUCUUACAAUUGCGAUGGGGGGACGGAGAAGGCUAGGUGGGCCUGGCGACGGUUGUCCAGGUUCAAGUGCGUAGGCUUAAGAGUUAGGUAAAUCCGGCUCUUUUUAAGGCUGAGACACGACGUCGAGCCACUACGGUGGUGAAGUCAUUGAUGCCAUGCUUCCAGGAAAAGCCUCUAAGCUUCAGAUUGUAAGGAAUCGUACCCCAAACCGACACAGGUGGUCGGGUAGAGAAUACCAAGGCGCUUGAGAGAACUCGGGUGAAGGAACUAGGCAAAAUGGUACCGUAACUUCGGGAGAAGGUACGCUCUUGAUGGUGAAGUCCCUCGCGGAUGGAGCUGACGAGAGUCGCAGAUACCAGGUGGCUGCAACUGUUUAUUAAAAACACAGCACUGUGCAAAAUCGUAAGAUGACGUAUACGGUGUGACGCCUGCCCGGUGCCGGAAGGUUAAUUGAUGGGGUUAGACUUCGGUCGAAGCUCUUGAUCGAAGCCCCGGUAAACGGCGGCCGUAACUAUAACGGUCCUAAGGUAGCGAAAUUCCUUGUCGGGUAAGUUCCGACCUGCACGAAUGGCGUAAUGAUGGCCACGCUGUCUCCACCCGAGACUCAGUGAAAUUGAAAUCGCUGUGAAGAUGCAGUGUACCCGCGGCUAGACGGAAAGACCCCGUGAACCUUUACUACAGCUUGGCACUGAACAUUGACCCUACAUGUGUAGGAUAGGUGGGAGGCUUUGAAGCACGUACGCCAGUAUGUGUGGAGCCGUCCUUGAAAUACCACCCUUGUAGUGUUGAUGUUCUAACGUCGACCCCUUAUCGGGGUUGCGGACAGUGCCUGGUGGGUAGUUUGACUGGGGCGGUCUCCUCCCAAAGAGUAACGGAGGAGCACGAAGGUGGGCUAAUCACGGUUGGACAUCGUGAGGUUAGUGCAAUGGCAUAAGCCCGCUUGACUGCGAGAAUGACAAUUCGAGCAGGUGCGAAAGCAGGUCAUAGUGAUCCGGUGGUUCUGAAUGGAAGGGCCAUCGCUCAACGGAUAAAAGGUACUCCGGGGAUAACAGGCUGAUACCGCCCAAGAGUUCAUAUCGACGGCGGUGUUUGGCACCUCGAUGUCGGCUCAUCACAUCCUGGGGCUGAAGUCGGUCCCAAGGGUAUGGCUGUUCGCCAUUUAAAGUGGUACGCGAGCUGGGUUUAGAACGUCGUGAGACAGUUCGGUCCCUAUCUGCCGUGGGCGUUGGAAGAUUGAAGGGGGCUGCUCCUAGUACGAGAGGACCGGAGUGGACGAACCUCUGGUGUUCGGGUUGUGUCGCCAGACGCAUUGCCCGGUAGCUAAGUUCGGAAUCGAUAACCGCUGAAAGCAUCUAAGCGGGAAGCGAGCCCUGAGAUGAGUCUUCCCUGAUACUUUAAGUAUCCUAAAGGGUUGU
RNAcentral lists this ribosomal RNA (2631 nucleotides) under Vibrio parahaemolyticus. RNAcentral's name for it is "bacterial LSU rRNA". It matches the Rfam family "Bacterial large subunit ribosomal RNA". The record is from RNAcentral. Lineage: Bacteria; Pseudomonadati; Pseudomonadota; Gammaproteobacteria; Vibrionales; Vibrionaceae.